This 465-nucleotide ribosomal RNA is filed under the name uncultured bacterium. RNAcentral's name for it is "partial 16S ribosomal RNA". It matches the Rfam family "Bacterial small subunit ribosomal RNA", at positions 339 to 795 of the family's 1533-position model. The record is from RNAcentral.
CUACGGGUGGCUGCAGUGGGGAAUAUUGGACAAUGGGGGAAACCCUGAUCCAGCAAUGCCGCGUGUGUGAAGACGGCCUGCGGGUUGUAAAGCACUUUCGGUUGGGAGGACUGCUUCUAGCACUAAUAUUGUUGGAAGUUGACGUUACCUUCAGAAGAAGCACCGGCUAACUCCGUGCCAGCAGCCGCGGUAAUACGGAGGGUGCAAGCGGUAAUCGGAAUUACUGGGCGUAAAGCGCGCGUAGGCGGCUAGAUCAGUCGGGUGUGAAAGCCCAGGGCUUAACCUGGGAACUGCAUCCGAUACUGUCUAGCUUGAGUACAGGAGAGGAGAGUGGAAUUCCACAUGUAGCGGUGAAAUGCGUAGAUAUGUGGAGGAACACCAAUGGUGAAGGCAGCUCUCUGGCCUGAUACUGACGCUGAGGUGCGAAAGCGUGGGGAGCAAACAGGAUUAGAUACCCGCGUAGUC